Ribosomal RNA from Coffea eugenioides, 119 nucleotides. NCBI's taxonomy places the organism in Eukaryota, Viridiplantae, Streptophyta, Magnoliopsida, Gentianales, Rubiaceae. The record is from RefSeq and is a predicted model, not a curated record.
GUCUGCGAUCAUACCGGCACUAAUGCGCCGGAUCCCAUCAGAACUCCAAAGUUAAGCGUGCUUGGGCGAGAGUAACACUUGGAUGGCUGACUCCCUGGGAAGUCCUCGUGUCGCACCCU